Molecule: long non-coding RNA, 643 nt
Organism: Bactrocera neohumeralis
Lineage: Eukaryota; Metazoa; Arthropoda; Insecta; Diptera; Tephritidae
Exons: 3
Source: RefSeq, a predicted model, not a curated record
GCAAACAGGUUCACAUUCAUUUUUAAUGAAGGAACUACUGCACAUUGAUGCAAAUGGACACAAAAAUUAUCUAAGAAUGUCAGAGACGCAGUAUAAUUUUAUAUUAUCUGCAAUACAGGACGACAUAACGAAGCAAGAUACUGUGAUGCGAGCUGCAAUUUCUGCAACGGAAAAGCUGUCACUGAUCCUCCCUUUUCUCGCAACGGGAGAAUCGUUUCUAAGCUUAAUUUUUGGGUAAAAAAUUUCGCAGCCAGCAAUUAGUGGAAUAAUUCCCGAAGUUUGUGAUGCUAUUUACAAAAAACUGACGGCGUUAUAUUUGAAUUUCCAAGCAAUACGGCAGUGUGGGUAUCAAUUGCGGGGAUUGUAACUGCGAAUCACGAUAUCUGUUUGAUUUUUGUACUAAACGGCGUAUAAGGCAUUUGACCUCCCAUUGAGCGUCUUCUCGCAUGUGAGGAACUAUCUCCUCCAUUUUCGCAGAGACCAAAUUGCCCAACCAACUAUACGGUCUAUUGCGUCUUUCAGCGAUUAAAACUAUUUGAUUUAUACACAUAUACAUGUAUGAAUAAUAUACUAUAUUAACAGUUUCUUCAGCCACAAUUGGUUGGGUUGUUGUUGGAGAUAUAUUAUUUUCACACUCCCGACU